ACAUAUAUGCUGCAGAACCCUUUCAGGGUGUAUCUGAAACUACUUCUCUUAAAGGCAAGCUGUAACUGGUGCCAGUGAGUACUACUAUCUUUUAUUUAAAUUAAAAACAAAUUUAACAUCACUUAGUCUUUAUAAGAAUGAGAAAGUCCAGAUAAGUAUAAAGAAGAAAAUUUAAAAAUCUAAAUGGUCGGGGUGUUUGGGGGAGCAGAAGAGGAAGAUAGAAGAUUGUAUCUCUCUAUCUUCUUGUCUUGGCUUCUGAACCCGAGAUGUUUUUUAUUAUUGCAGGAAAAGACAGAAGCUGAUUGAGGUCCCAGCUUGGUAACAGUUUGAAGAGUUGCAGGACUGGCUGGAUGAGUACUGGCUGCAGCAAAUCAGGCUGCCAGGAUUCUUUAUGGCUGUUUCUGCUUCCACUACAGCUGAGUCAGAAAGGUCGCUGCCCCGUGGUGGCACUAGACGCAGUGGACCUGGCAAGCAAAUGUUUCCGCUAUUAGCUCUCAGCAACAGAGACUCAUUUAUGGUCACCUUGGAAAUCUGGGCUUAUCGAUCUACAGCCCAAGUCUGCUGAGAAGCUGGAGCUUACUAAAGGGGAAACCUGAGAGCUGUUCAAGCCCCAAAUAUUUUCCACUUCUGCGUCACCUCUGCUGUCUGUUAGCAGAGUGGAGGAGAAAAUACACAGCACAAACAACGUGAAAAAAUAGUUACUCUAUUCAUUAAAAGCUGUAACUUCCAGAUUGGACUUGAGAAGCAAUUAAGCAACAGAGGAACCUCAUCUACUAUCUGUAUUCAGGCAUGCUCAUGAGAACACGCUGCUCCAGCUGGACUUAGAGGAACCCGGUGCAUCACAGGCAUUCCUGACAGAGUCUCGUGGUCCUGCUGGUCCACUCAGUGGUACUCAGUCCUCCUCAUUCUCGGGGAUAGGUUCCAAGACCCCCAGGGGAUGCCUGAAACUGCGGAUGGUACCGA
Homo sapiens (human) is the source of this 963-nucleotide long non-coding RNA. Ensembl annotates it as DOCK8 antisense RNA 2. Its record names the gene DOCK8-AS2. The record is from Ensembl. NCBI's taxonomy places the organism in Eukaryota, Metazoa, Chordata, Mammalia, Primates, Hominidae.